This 22437-nucleotide long non-coding RNA is filed under the name Ananas comosus (pineapple). RNAcentral's name for it is "long non-coding RNA (ACOM_LNC035055)". Lineage: Eukaryota; Viridiplantae; Streptophyta; Magnoliopsida; Poales; Bromeliaceae. The record is from RNAcentral.
AAACAGUACAUAUUAUACUUUAAUAAAUUUGUAAUAAUAUAUAUAUAUAUAUAAAAUCCGGCUAUUAUACUAUCGAUAGUACCAAGCCUUUGGUACUAUUGAGUUUUUUACCAUUAGAUCUGCCAUUUGAUCAUUUCCACCCAUUAGAUUAUACUAUUAAACCAACCACCCACUCAACCCUCGGGGACCACUAUCAAUUUAACCGGGGACCACUAUCAUCCUAACCACACAUCCUUUCAUCCAACGGCCGAAAACUCAAUAGUAUCAAGGACUUGGUACUAUUGAUAGUAUAGUAGCAUAUAUAUAUAUAUAUAUAUAUAUAUAUAGAGUAAGGCUAGAAUACUUGUAAAAGUAUCAUGGGGGUGAUGCUUAUGUGUUUUUAGCCCUUGGAUGGAGAGAUGUGAGGUUGAGAUGAUGGUGGUAGGUGGUGGUAGGUGGUGGUAGGUGGAAUAGUCUUUAAUUCAAGGGCUAUUAAUAAUCAAAAAGUAGAUCCAAUGGCUUAAAACCUAAUAGCACCAUGAUAGUGAUACUUGUAAAAGUAUCAUAGCUCAACUCUAUAUAUAUAUAUAUAUAUAUCUACGAGUUGAGCUAGAAUACUCUCAAAAGUACCAAUGGGGUGUACUUUUGAGUUUUUAACCAUUGGAUGGAGUGAUAUAGGAUUGAGAUAAUAGUGGUAGGUGGUAGUAGGCGGAAUAGUAUUUGAUCCAAAAGGUAUUAGUAAUUAAAGAGUAGAUCUAAGGACUAGAAACUUAGAAGCACCAAUGAGUUAGGUGCUUCUGAAAGUAUUCUAGCUUUACUCAAUAUCUAUGCACGGGCAAAAAUGUUGUCUAUAAUUAAUAUGACCUUUGUGAAAUGACGAUCAUACCCUCUCAGCAACACUGUGGCUAUCAGUAGCUUGGCCUCUUCUUGCCCUCACAUGAACCACUUCCUUUGGCUUCUUCUCCUCCUUUGAACACCUCCUCCCUCUCCUCCCACGACCACCACCACCACCACCUAAACUCUGAAAAAGAGAACAAAUUCACCAAUGCAUCAAAUGAACACAAAAUAUAUAGGGGCUAUUUGGUUCAAUGUAGUUACAAAAACAGUAUAAUUGAAAGUACAUACAGUUGCAAAUACUGCAGUCAUAACUAUACCUAGUCUGUUUGGUUUUAUAUAGUUGCAAUUGCUGCAGUUAUAUUUCUUCUAUUUGGUAGGUUGUAAUUGAGAUUUGUAUUUAUAAAUUCUGUCAAUUUUUAGAUAGGAAUAUAAGAUUAUCUUUUCUGAACAUAACAUAAUCAUACGAUCUUUUAAUUAUUAAUUAAAAUUUUUAUAUGUAUAUAUAAUUUAUAUAUUAUAAAAUUAAAUAUGAAUUUAAUGAAUUUUAAAUACAAAUAUAUUAUAAAUUUGGUCAAAAUAAAAAUUAAGACAUUAUUGAACUAGCAGAUUAGAAAAAAAAGAAGCGUAUGAAAAAAAUUUAUUAAACCCUAACAGAUAUUGUUAAACUCCAGCAAAUUUCAUGAAUAUGUAUUCUUAGAAAAAAAAAUUUUAAAAAAAAGCAUAUAAAGAAUAAUCACAUUUUAUUUAUUUUUUUAAUGGGUGAGCCGAUUCUAGCCCAACUGCUGCAGUUGGUACAACAGCCCUUCUCGUGUAGAUGCAACUGCAGUUGAGCCGGCCUAACUAUACCAAACCAAAUAAUAGUGCAGUAAAAAUAUUUCAAAAAAGGAAACUAAAACUGCAAAAAUGAAUGAUACAUCAAAGUCAUUAAUUGAAGAUACAUACACUCUUCUUCCUUGCUACAUUUUCUUGUGAAUAACCAUUUUCAAGACGAGGCGUCGCCGAGCUCUGCGAACUACUCUCCGGUGCUGCGGCUUCCCCCUUCUUCUUGAUAUAUCCCCAGCUGAUCUCGACCGUCGAUGGGGACGUGUUUUCAUGAGUUAAUGGUGAGUUAUUGUGCAAACCCAUGAAUGGUGAGCUCAAAUUCUCUAUUUCAUUGCCAUUGAUUAGCUCUAUAUACUGUGACACUAUCUCAAAGCAUGGAUCCAUUUCAUUAAUGAAGCUCUCAACAAGCUCUCUCAUGGCUAUGGUAUAUUUUUAUAUAUAUAUAUAUAUAUAUCUGUGAGUGCUCUUUCUUCUCUCCUCAAGAGUGUCACAGUGUAUAUAUUUAGAUGAAGGGGAGGGGAAUAAGAGGUAUGGAGCCCAUGACAUGGUGUGUGUGGAUUAUAAAUGAGCUUUGUAGAGGACGGGAAAUUAUUGCCUGAACCCGGUGUGCACAUGCAAUUCCAUGCACCGAAACUAAGUUUUGAUGAUCUGAUAAAUGUGAUAUAUAUAUAUAUAUAUAUAUAUAUAUAUAUAUGGGAGUAAAGCUACUAUGCUAUCGGAAGUAUAGAAAAUCUGGUGCUUCCGACUUUUUGGCCCUUAAAUCAAAAUUUUUAAUUAUUUUUAACUUUUGGAUUAAUACUAUUACUCUGUGGGAACUAGUCAACACUAAGGAUACUACUUAACUCUGGAAGAACCACAAUUAUCCCAACCAUACAAUUCUUGAUCAAAGAAUUAAAAAGUCGGAAACAUCAACUCCUUUAUAUAUACUUUUGAUAGCAUAAUAGCCCUACACUAUAUUUAGAGAACUUAAUUAAGUAUCGGAAAUAAUAUAUUUUGAAAAUUUAUUACUGAGGAAUCAAAAUGUUUCGAAAAUCAAUGAUAGUAUGGUCAUUAUUUGACUUGCAAAAUAACGAAGUCCAAAAUUUAUGAUUUUUAACAUAUAAGUAUUUUAAAUGUCAUACAAUCUAUCCAAGUAGGAUUGUUGGUCUAGCUCGCUAUUCGCGAGUCAGCUCAUGUUCGACCCCAAAAUGACUCGCAGCCAAACAUAAGCUGGGUUUACCUCGCUUGUGUUUCCAUCGAUAUAGCUCGAAAUAAAUAAAUAUAUAACUAAUUUAUAUAAAUAUUAUAUUUAGAUUGAUAUAUAGUAAAUGCGAACAUUAUUUUUUUUUUGUUAGCGUGACUUUUAAAAUUUAAUAUUAAUUACCAAUACUAUUAAGAGCACAUGCAAACAUUAUAAGUAAUAAUAAAUUAAUAAUAAUACUAGCUAGUAAUAGCUAGUUUUAAUAUUUUAUUAAAGUUUAAUGCAAGUUGGUUGACAAUAAUUUCGAGGCUUCUCAAAUUAAUUUCAAGUUGAAGACGAGCUAAUUAUUAAAGCUUGUUUUAAUUUUGAGCCAAAUGCAAACCAACUCGAUCGAGUUAUUUUCAAGUCCAUCUCAAGCUGAUCCUAUCUCAUUUGUGCUCCGGUUGUGUGACGCCCCGCGGGAGGAUCACCUAUACUAGUAAUUUUUUUUAACCUCUUAGAUUUAGCCACCUCCCAAAAUACUAUAAUCGAAUUAAGAAAUUUAGCCAUAUUAUAUCUUAUAUAUAGGAUUAUUAGAUUUUAGGGGUGUCAUAACUCGUUCAUAGCACUAUAUAUAUUCGAGCAUUUUAAAGGUAUAGUGUAUGAGAUCUAUUUAUCAAGAAUUUGAAUACUCAUCGGCACGGAUCAUAUUCAUCAUAUCGUAUCGUGCCAAUGAGAUGUCGUUACGAUACAUCCCUCGUGCCAAUAGCACAGCUCACAACUCUUUUUUUUAAAAAAAUUAGUAAUAAUUUUUUCAAUAAUAUUCAAAAAGUUUGAUACAAAUACAUAAUAAUUAAGCAAUUAUAAGAUUUUAUCAUAAAAAAAAUAAUUUAUGCUAUUAUGUAUAGGUACACAUAUAGUUUUUAUGACCGGCGUUUAUCAGUACAAUCUGAUACGUACCGUGUCGUACCGUAUCAGUAAAUUUUCGGCCCUAUCCGAUGAAAGUGAUAAUUCCCAGUAUUGGAUCUCUUGGGGAGAGGACAUGUGGCACAAUGAGGUUCUGUCUAGGGGUGGAAACGAGCCGAGCUCGAGCGAGCUUAUGUAAGCUCAAAUUCGGCUUGAAAUUAAUUUCGAGCCUAAAUCUAGGCUCAAGCUCGGCUUGAAAUUAAUUCNAGUUCAAAUUAAAAUUUAAAAUUAUAUAUUUAAUUUUUAAAUUUUAACUCAUAUUUUAAUUAAAAAAGUUGAAAAAAUAAAUUUAAUCCAAAUAAAUAUCUAUUCCGCCCAGAUUCAACUUCCAAUCCGACCUUCUAGGCCGGAUUGAAAAAAAGGUGAUUGAGCGAUUUCCAUUCUACUCGGGAAUCGGAAUCGGAAUGAGACUCUUACAUACCAAACACUCACAAAUGGAUUCACUCAUUCUCAUUCCGAUUCCAUGACGAAAAAGAAGCGAAUCAAACACGCCCAUAGUUUUUAUGAUUGGCAUUAGUCUUUAUGAUUGGCAUUAGUCCGUAUAAUUUGACUCGUAUCGUAUCGUACCGUAUCAGUAAAUUCCCAAUAUUGGAUCCCUUGGGAAGAGGACACGUGGCACAAUGAGGUUCUGUCGCUGGGCUCACCUUGUGGGUCCCCUUCAAAGAAUCUAUAUCCACAGAGUCUAUGAAAUUUAUUAUGAAAAGAUCUAUAAAUAUGUAUAUAAUAUAAAAGUUGGAUAGGAAUAGUAGUUAUGGGAACAUCUAAUGCUAGGCAUGCAGUGGUUGGGCAGUUUGAUGAUGACACUACCAUAUAUCCUUGUCAGGUAGAGAAUUAGGGUUUAAUUUAUGUGAAAUCAAUCAUGAUGAAAUUAAAUCAAUACAUACAACUCUUUAUAUCUUAAUCCUAAUUAAUUACAGCUCUAUGCCCUUUUUCUUUUUCUGUAUUAUAGAAUGAUCUUUAGGAUUGUUAACAGUACCCCUUUCAUAAAUUAUCUCGUAGCUGAAAAUUUGAUUCACAUUAGAUUGGAAAUAAUCCAAAAACAUACUUAACAUCCUCACGUAUAUAAAUAAAAAAUUUGAACUGAUAUAUUAUCACGUACACAUUCCAAACAAGGCCUUAGUCGAUCUUUUGAAUUUUAAUAUGAGAAUUUGAUCUACUAAACAUGCAUGGUGGGUGUUUGAACCAAUCAUAUUUUUUACUAUACGUAGUACUAAAGAUUAGAGUAAUAAUUAAACAAAGUGGAAGGUUAUAUUUCUACAAGAAUAGAAAUAUUAGUACUAAAGAUUAGUGUUCCCUAUAUAUUUCUAUUCUUUUCUACAAGGAUUUCCUAUUUAUGUAGAUUAUAAUAUGAUUACGUGCCAUAAAAAUGAGAAACUUUUCGUUUCCUCAUUGGAAGAUUUCAACUUAGAUGAUGUAUUGUUAUAUUUAUUUUGCCACAUUCCUGACAAGGUCUAUCCUAAUACAAUCUCUUGAUGAGAGGAUAUCUUUUAGGGUGCGUUUGGUUCGCACUAUAAAAGAUUACUAGGAGUAAAAAGAUAUCCGAAAAUCUUAUUCAUAUUCAUCCUAUUACUAAAAAUAUAGUAUUUCGGUGUUUGGUCGUACGGUCAUAUUAUUUAGUCAUGUUAUUUAAGAUUACGAAAAAUAUACAAUCAAUUAAUUAAUUAAUUUAAUUAAUUUUAAAUAAUACUAUAAAAAAAUUUCAACAUCUUUUUAAAAAAAAGAGAGAGAAUAUAAGUUAGAAAGAGAGAGCCUAAUUAAAGAAAUAGAAAAAGAAAUAGAGUCGAGAUUAGAGAGAAUGAGAGGGUUGAGAUUUUAGAAAAAGAGAGAGAGAAAUAGCUUAAUUUAGAGAGAGAAAGAGUUGAAGUUUAGAAAAAAAAAGAAAAUAAGUUUAGAGAGAGAUAUGAGGUUAGAGUGUAAAAAUAAAUAAUACCAACUAGCCGGCGGGUGGGAAAAAAAAAGAGAUUAGACAUAUUAUAAUUACUCCAAUCUAUUAAUAUAAGGAUACUCACCUUCCCUCAAAGGAAUGAGAUUAGUAUUUUGUGAUGCAUCUCAUUCCUAAGUAAAUCUAGUAUUACCAAUCAGAUUACUUAGUGCGUUUAGCCAAACACCGUCAUAUUUUUUUAUUUUUAUUGAAUAAUUAGGAAUCUUAAAAAGAUAGCGCGAACCAAACACACCCUUAAAACUUAGCCAUAUAUCCAAGGAGGAAUGAUUGUGAACCAGAGCUUCUUAAAAGCUAUCUCUCAAUUUAAUGCUCCGUGUAUAUUUGGCUUUCUACAUUAAAUUGUUCAGAGGAAUGUGUGGCUUUGGGCUAUAGGCACAUGGUUGGCUCCCCAGAGGGCAUGAUGUCCACUACCAAAAACCCAUGGCCCAUAGGGCUUCCUAGGGGCAACUUGGUUUUGUAAAAGGGUUGGAGUGGUGUAAUUAAACUAUGAAGUGAACCCUACCAAUUGCAUUUAAUCUUUAGGGUUCACUUUCACAUCUAUGUAAGUUAAGUUUGGUAGCUAUGAGAAACUCUUUCCAAUCAAUCCUGGUAACUAGAUCAUUUGCUGCAAUGUGGUAAUUGUUAGUUUAAAUAGACAAGAAUUCUGCCUUGUGGAAGGUCAGAUUAUUACAAGUCAUGUUCAAAAUGGCAGUAGGUCAGGUUUGGCCGUGUCACAAUUGAGACCCACGGGCUCUGUAUCUGUAUGCUUUAAGUGAGUUGGUUGUGUAUUUUUAACAGCCUGAACUUCUAGGAUUAAUAGUUAGUACCAAUGAUCCGACUGUAAUUACUUUAUGAAAUCUUAAUCCUUUUUCUAUUUGGUGAAUAGUAAAAGAAAUCAACAUUAUUAUGUAAAAAUUCUAUUCGACAGUAAUUACUUGAUGUGACAUCUUAAUCUAUUUUUCUAUUUGAUGAAUAGUAAAAGGAAUCAACCUUAUCAUGUGAGAAUUUUGUUAGGCAGAACUUUCCAUUUAGAUCAACAGGACAAAGUUCACUCCAAUUGAUAGGCAAAUUGCAUUAGAUGAUGAAAUGUGACAAAUUUUAGGCCUAAUUUUGGAAUGUGUUCUUUAAACACAACUAGUUUGAUGCUUUUGAACCCUAUAAAAUCCGAAGGUGUUUAGCAUUAGAAACCUCUCAUUGAAAAGAAUCCUCACUAAUGUUUUUCCGUUAAUUGCUAGUGGAUCAAUAAUUUGGACCUAACGAGUUAUUAUUGUUAGUGGGUCAGAUCGCUACAUUUGUUAUUAGAGCCGGUUCACCAACGGAGAAUGUGAGGCGAUCCCAUAACGCCGAGUGAAUGGUUUACCAGCCGGAAAUAUAAGGUGGAUCUCAUAAUGCCUGGUGAUAUUGAACUAUGUGUGUGAUUGGGUUGAGUUUGUGACACUACGAUAGUCCCACAUCAGAUGAAAAUGAGGUUAUGUUGGGGAGGAAAGAAAAACUACCCUUUAUGCUAAGGAGGAGAAACAAGAGACUACCCCCUACGUGAGGAUCAGAGGAGAAAUUGGGAGAGUCUGUAACACCCCAAUAUUUAAAACUAGGGGGAAGAGAGAGACUAUCCUUUACGCUAAGGAUCGAAGGAGAAACUGGGAGAGUCUGUAUAUAAUACCCCAAUAUUUGAAACUAGGGGGAAGAGAGAGAGGGCCCUCUAUGUUGAGGAGGAAAUGUGAGACUACUCUCUAUACUGAGGAGUAGAAACAGGGGAAAAGUCUAUGACACUACAAUAGUCCCAUAGUCGGAUCGUUAAUCAGCAGCGAGUAGCGGUGCAGGAUAUCAAGAAAGCAAAGAGUCGCAGUGCAUGAUAUCAAGAAGACUUAUUGCAUUUCUUUGGGAACGAAACUACCAAAGAAAAAUAAAAGUACUUCCUAAAGAUUAGGUUAAAGAACCUAGUUUCCUGCUAAGAGUCCAAUAAUAUAGUUUUAGUGCAUUAGCUCUCCUACCAUUACACUACAACAAAAACGGUCUAUAGCGACACUUUUAAAUGUAGGUACAUGUCAAAAAAGUGCUGCUAGCUAAAAUUACCGACACUUUUAAAAAGUGUUGCUAUAUGUGGGGUCGCUAGGUAUAUAGUGACAGUUAAAGAGUGUCGCUAUAACCUAAAAGAGUGCUGCUAAUUUACCAAUAACCUAUUUAAGCAUUUAGCAACCGCCGAAACUCUAUCUCGUUGGCUGCGGUGGCGGAGGAGGACGACAGGAAUGGCUCUUCGUCUAGAAUUUCAGUGGAUUGAGUGAAGAGAGAAGAAAAUAUGAUAAUUGAUUUUUCUUCUUUUUCUUUUUUCUGUUUGUAAUCGGGCCAAAUGGGCUGGGUGUGGUGGGUUGAGUAGAGUAAUCUUUUAUUUUUUAUCGGAUUGGGUUUUGUAUUUAGGCAUUAGUAGAUGUUUUUUUAAGUUUUAGCAUAAAUGGGACACUUACUCAAAAGUGUCCCAAACAUGUGUCCCUAUAACCUAAUUCUGUUGUAGUGUUCUCACCGGAUAAAACUUUACUGAGAAGUUUUCCAACGAUACUUUGUUGGGAAGCCCUUGGUUUCCUGUUACGUAUUAAUUUUGCCUCUAUCCAAUGGUUCAUUGAAAAUUUUUUAAUAUUAAACUUGAAAAGAGUUUAUAAACCUAAAAAAAAAAAAUUAUAACCCUUGGUUAGAAAUAAAAGUAACACAUAUGGUGAUGAAUUUGAGCUCCCUAAUGAGGCGUUGUAAGGGACCUCCCCACUCAAGUUCUUUCCCUUUUUACCUAGUGUCGUCUUUUCUAUCUAUAUCUCAUAAGGGUAAUUUAAUUAUGGCCAAUUUGCAUAAAAAAUCCACUUAUUUUGGGAUUCUGCAAAACCGGGUCACCUUUUUCGUUUUUGCAGAUUCGGUCCGCUUUUUCAGCAAACUGACCACAAUACCCUUAUUACUUUUUCUCUUUCCUCUUUCUCUCUCUUCUUCGUUUCUCUCGUUCUUUUUUUUUUUUCUCGCCGGCAGAGCGGAGGCGGAGCGGAGGUAGAAACGGUCCGUCUCGUCUCUCACCCUCAUGCUCUCGCCCUCGCCCUUGCCCUCGUCCAUGCACCCCCACCUUCCUCGCCUCCGACCCUGCCAAGGCCGUGCCGCGAUUUUUUUUUUUGCUUUUUUCUUUUCUUUUCUUCUCCGACUCUCCUCCACCGUCUCCGACACGACGCUUCGCCCUUUCCCCAACCCUUAUCAUCUCUCCUCUCCCUCAUUUCGCCGGCCUCGACGACGAUUUAUCUUCGCACGGCGCCGGAGUCGACAGCCGAAGUCACUGCGGGCCUGACAGUUCGGAGCGGGGGUUCUUUAGCGCGUCGUCCCCGGGCGUCGUCUUGCCAGAGAAAGGUGACAAAAAAAAUUAUAGAAAAACAGAAAAAACAAAUAAAGAAAAAAUUAUAUAAAGAAGGAAUGAAGAUGAAAUUGUAUCGUUAAUAUACCAAAAAAUUAUAUUACACUAUUUAAAGAUGUAAACUGCUGCUUUAAGAUAAAACUUAUACUCUUUGAAACAAAAAUUAUACUAUUUUUUUGAUCUUAAACUGGCAUCCUUUUAAGUGAUAUUUAUACUGUCUCUCCUCUUGUGUGCACCUAUUCUCUCUUGUUUUACACAGAAAUGGUGGAAAGAAGGAAGAAACUUAGUGCAACAAGAGAAAAAACAGUAUAAACUAUCUCUUAAAAGUGGGAGUUUCUCCCCUCUUAUUGGCAUACUUUCACUCUUGUUGCACCUAUUCUCCUAUUUAUUGACAUAGAAAUGGUGCAACAAGAAAAAAACACGUGCAAUAAAGAAAACAAACAGUAGAUAUGUCUCUAAAAACCGUUUAUGUUGUUUAGUUUUUUUUUUUUUUUCUUUCUUGUUGGCACUAUUUCUCCUCUUGUUUACACAGAAUGGUGCAAAAAAGAAACACUAUAUAUAUCUUUACAAACAAUGCAGUUUCCUCCUCUGUUCAUCUGUUUCUCCUCUUGUUGCACUAAUUUCUCUAACUUGUUUAUACACGAAAUGGUGCAACAAGAGGAGAAUACAGUGACAACAUAGAGGAGAAACAGUGCAACAAAAGGAGAAAGCAGCUAAUAAAUAUCGUCUUAAAACAGGGUACAGUUUAGAUAAAAAUAUUGUAACAAGAGAAAAAAAUGGUGCAACAAGAGGAGAAAACAUGCAACUUUCUGGUUUAAAAGAGUAUAACUUUCAUCUGUAAUAGAUCCAUUUAAUCGAAUAGAGUGUAAAUAGAAAAAAACAAUGUAAAUUCUCUCAAAGGUGUAUUUUCGUUUAAAGAGUGUAGUUUCAUCUUAAACCACAGUAUUACAUCUAAUAGUGCAACUUAAUAAUUUUUCUUGUAGUCUAACAGAUGCAAUUCUCAUAUUCCAUCUCUUUUUCAUAAUUUUUUAGUCUUUAAUUUGUUUUUUUUUCUGUUUUUCUAUAAUUUUUUUGUCACCCUCUCGCUACAACCCACGUGUCUCGGCGAGACGCGCUAAGACCCCCGCUCCGCAGCCUUAGCGCCGCAGUGACCUCGCACGUGUCGACGUUGACGUCGGCGCUGACGAAGAUGCAUGCGGUCGACGCGGCAGAGAAUGAGGGAAGGGAGAAUGAAGAAGCGCGGAAGGACGAAGAGGACUGAUCUUCGGAGCACCGUGGACGAAAGUCGGAGAAAAAGAAAAGAAAAAAGGCAAAAAAAAAACAUCGGGCGCGGGCCUUGGGGGGUUGGAGGCGAGGAAGUGGGGGGCGUGGACGAGGCAGGAGGAGCGAGGCUAAGAAUGAGGUGAGAGGCGAGACACGGAAGUUUCCGCCUCCGCUCCUGCGCGAGAAAAAAAAAAAGAGCGAGAAACAAAGACGGAAUGAGAACAGAGAAAGAUAAAAAAAUAAAAAGGGUAUCUUGGUCGUUUGAUAAAAAUGACUGAAUCUGCAAAAAAACUGACAAAAGGCUGGCACGGUUUUGCAAACGCCACAAUAAUGGAUUUUUUAUGCAAAUUGGCCGUUAAUUAUUGAUGUAAGAUUUUUUUUCUUUUUUCUUUUUUUUUUUAAUUUUCUUGUAUGCUUACACACUUCGACGGGAAAAUUCAUCCUUGUUAUCUGGACCUACUUUUUUUUUUAUCUCUCUGACUAACAUAUAUAUUUGGAAAAUCACAGAGGCAAUGAAAAAUUUAGGCAUACAAUUUAGAGAAUUUAACGACAAAACUCUCUUCAAGAGACUACUAAAUGUAUAUAUGCUGCUCAAAUUGAAGUGUUUAUAUACAUACUAUUCAACUUAUUGUGAGUUGCAUCUGUUGGUGAUAUAUUCUAAAGUUAAUUUGCAACGUAGACUUGUGAACAUAUUCUUUUAUUAAUUAAUAAAUUGUAAGUUUAUUCAUAUUUAUUAUUAGCAGUACAAUAUAUUUAGAUGAAAUCAUCAGUUGAAUAUUUAUUGAGAAAAUAUAUUUCUAAAAAUAAAAAAAUUUGAGAUAUAUAUUUCUUUGUAUAAGAUUUUUAAACGCUUCUUAAUUACCACAGAAAUAUCAUAAGGACGGUGAAAUUCUGGAUAGGCCAUUAUAUGUUAUGUUUCUAAGUUGAGAUGAAAAAUCUUGAGUCACUAGUGUACACCGAAACAAGCAUACAAGUGCUGUGGAUCGUAAACAUUAACCAACUAUCCCAAAAGCAUGUGUUGAUAGGAAGGGCGCACCCAUCGCACUUAAAGGCUUAACUACAGCGCUCACGGGUUUCGACCUGACUCAACCCACUUGAACAUUAGGUAUAUUGUGGGGUCUCUUGCCGUUAAGUUAUUUGUGGACCGCAAUCCCACCCAACUUAUUAGGCUCACCUAACUCAACUUAUUAGUUUCCUGAGUCGAUUAUCAUGGGGCAGAAAGUUGAACUUAUUUUAACCUAAUAAUAAAUAGCCAACAAGUGCUUGUUAGCGAAGAAGUAAAUUGAACGCGACCAUUUAGUUAAACAGUCAUAUGGUUUGAUACUUACUACUGGUUAGUCUUUGCUAUAGUGUUGUGAAGGACCUGAGACAUUAUGGUUGAUUCACAUAUAAAUUGCUACCGUUUGAUUUUAAUAAUACUUAGCCUUUAAUCAUUAGUUUAUGUCUAGUAUUAAUUGACUAUAGUAGUUUUAUAUGAUAAGGCAUGUGAGUGUAAAAUAAGGAGUACUUUCAAUAUUGAGAGAGAAGGUCUUAUGUAGACUAUCAGACUUGAUACCGAAAAAUUCCUUGCUAGUAGGCUGGCAAAUGAGUGAGUCGGCUCGUGUUCGGCUCGAUAUUCGGCUCACUCUAGCUCAACUCGAAAUUUAUUUUAAGCCAAGCUUGAGUAUUACUUGGCUCGCUCGAAUUAGGCUCGAAAAGCUUGAAUAUAUAUAUAUAUAUAUAUAUAUAUAUAUAGAGAGAGAGAGAGAGAGAGAGAGAGAGAGAGAGAGAGAGAGAGAGAGNNNNNNNNNNNNNNNNNNNNNNNNNNNNNNNNNNNNNNNNNNNNNNNNNNNNNNNNNNNNNNNNNNNNNNNNNNNNNNNNNNNNNNNNNNNNNNNNNNNNNNNNNNNNNNNNNNNNNNNNNNNNNNNNNNNNNNNNNNNNNNNNNNNNNNNNNNNNNNNNNNNNNNNNNNNNNNNNNNNNNNNNNNNNNNNNNNNNNNNNNNNNNNNNNNNNNNNNNNNNNNNNNNNNNNNNNNNNNNNNNNNNNNNNNNNNNNNNNNNNNNNNNNNNNNNNNNNNNNNNNNNNNNNNNNNNNNNNNNNNNNNNNNNNNNNNNNNNNNNNNNNNNNNNNNNNNNNNNNNNNNNNNNNNNNNNNNNNNNNNNNNNNNNNNNNNNNNNNNNNNNNNNNNNNNNNNNNNNNNNNNNNNNNNNNNNNNNNNNNNNNNNNNNNNNNNNNNNNNNNNNNNNNNNGGAUCAAUUCUUUUGUCUUUAACCAGUGGAUUAAAUAUUAUAAUGAGUGCAUCAACCUAAGUGAUUAAUAUCAUCCGAACAUAUAAUUUUUUCAUUCAAGGAUUAAAAAUUUGAUAGCAAAAAAGGCCAAAUAUUAAAUCGAUAGUAUUGGAAGCCGCAUCAUUGAAAACAACUUGGUAGCACGGAAGCCUCCGUGCUAUGUAUAGUAUACCAGCCUAACUCUCUCUCUCUCUCUCUCUAUAUAUAUAUAUAUUAAAAUAAUAUAUAAAUAUAAUAUAUUUUAAUUAUAUGUAGGUUGAAUGAGUAAUUUGAGUUUAGAUAAAAAUGGGCUAAUGUUGCUGGCCCACAAAACAAACCCAAUAGACAAAUAAAAAUGCAAAAUUCUACUAAAUUUACACUCUCCCUCUCUCUUUCUUUCAUAUAUCUCUAAAUCCUUACUCUCUUUCUCUCUCUCUUUUCUCUGUCUGUCUGUCUCUCACCCUAAGUGGCCAAGCCUUUCAUUUUGCAUCAUAUCUAACUGAUUCCUUGGUUUGGCCUGAAGAAGAUUUAUUUGAUGUGGCUCAUGUAAUUUAUUCAAGGCGAUCUAUAAAGAUACAAUCGGUCUAUUCAAGUCGAUGUAUAAAGAUAUGGUAGAUCUAACGGUUAGGAUGCAUCUGGACAUGUCCUUGAUGGAUGUGCGUGAUUUAAUGUCCUUACAUCAAGUUAUAUAUAAAUAUGUAAUAUAUAGGAUCUAACUCUAAUUUUAAUUCUUAUGACGGCUCCAUUUCUGAGGAUAAGGGAAUUAGACUCGAAACGUUCUGCUCUUUUGCAGAUUGUGAACGAGGACGAACCACAAGCAAGAAUCAUCGUCUGCAAUCCGGAUAUAGAAAUCGAAAUCAUGGCAGAAGGUACGAUAUUAAUUUCUAAUAAAGUUUUAACAUGAAGGCCCCCAAGUUACCAAGUAACAGCGCGCGCCCGCCGUUGCCUACCUUAUCAUUAGUUGUGUGCUUGAAAAAAUAUACAGAAUAUUUUUAAGGUAAAAAAUUAUUGUUUAUACAAAAUUUUGAUUUUAGUUAUAUAUGAUUGGAUAGUUAAAUCCAAUAUUUGCCUAUAGAAUUUAUUCAUUUUUUAACCGUAUAAAUGAAAAGGAAUAAUAUGGAGAUUAGAGGCGGAAGAGAAAACAUACGAGACUGAAAAGAUUAGAUAUUCAACUCAUAAAUUAUUUUUCUUCAUAUUAUAAUACCGUAUUUUAUAUAAUUAUUUUGUAUUUUGAACUAUUAGAUAUAUUUUUGUAUCAAAUUGUAAAUAAUGUUUUAUACAAAUUAAACUAUUGAUCGAUCGAUGUUGAGAAUUUCAAGCGGCUCGUUUAGAGCUCAAGCUCGCUCGACUCAAAAUUAGGCUCGCUCAAGCUCAGCUCGAAUUAAUUUCAAGCCGAGCUUGAGCCUAAAUUUAGGCUUGAAAUUAAAAAUUAAUUUCAAGUUGAAUUUGAGCCGAUGUAAGCUCGCUCGAGCUCGGCUUGUUUCCACCCCUACUUGCCAAAGUACGUGAUGCGUGAAAAGAGUUUCACGCUGUAUUAACAUGUUGAGUCGAUUUUAAAAAUUCUAGUCAUCUAAUCAAAUAAUAAAGUUCGGCGAGUAACCAUAACUUUGAUUCAAUCGGGACAGUGUAUAAUGAAAAAAAUUAAUCACACGAUAAUUGUAAGCGGAAGUGUCAAUUCUUCAUUGCCAUUUUGGAUGACUACGAUAUAUUGAAAGGUGUCACUCGUGGACAAGGAGAAAAAUAAAAAAUAAUUUAAAUCAAAUUAUUUUAUUUUUCUAUUAGAAGCUUUCUAAUGCAAUAGUAAAGAUUUUGGUAUUGGAUUCCGCUGCCGAAUAGUGUGCAUUCCAAAUGAAAGGAUGAGUCUAGUAUAUUAAACAGUUUAGUAAAAGCAACAAGGAAUUGUACUAAUUUGAAAAUUAUUUAUAAAUCUUUUAAUUUUUAGUUAAAUUAAAAAGUAAUUAAAUAUUCAUAAAUUAUUAUGAAAUAAUAUUUUAACUAAAUUAGAUUUAAAUAUAAAUAUUUAAUUAUAAUAUAAAAGAUAGGUUCCAAUCAAAAUUCAUUAGAGAGAGGUAAAGAUAAAAUACUUAAAUAUUCAUCAUAAAAUAUUAUGGAUAAGUCUACUUAUUUAUUUUCUUAUCCUACACGUCAUCGUGCGGCUUCAUUAGCGUGCCGUGUGAAGAUUCGUGCGGUAUCAUAAGUGUGCCGAGAUCUUUCAUGUAGAUCGAUCGGAAUGUGUAAUGAAACAAUCUGAUAUAUCUAUAUAUACUAGCAAAGUGUACAUUAGUGCACGUAAAAUAAUUUUAAAAAAUAAUAUAUAUAUAUAUAUAUAUAUAUAUAUAUAUAUAUAUUUAAUANNNNNNNNNNNNNNNNNNNNNNNNNNNNNNNNNNNNNNNNNNNNNNNNNNNNNNNNNNNNNNNNNNNNNNNNNNNNNNNNNNNNNNNNNNNNNNNNNGAAGUAUCUAGAAAAUAAAUUUUGCGAUUUUUCGAUAUCAUUUGCGUAGUGAUCGAAGUGGCUCAAAAUCAACGGCUGAAAAUAAAAAUCUUACAAAAUAUGAGGAUAUGAUAUUAAAAUUUUAGAUCAAAGUUAUUGAUCUUGUUUUAUACGGUAUAAAGAAUUUUUUUAUCAAAAUUUCAUGCGAUUUGGAUAUUUCUACACCGUUAAACUUGCAACCGGCUCACCACGGCCAUUAAAAUUAUUAAUUUUGAGCCCCUUCGAUCACUACGCAAAUGAUAUAGAAAAAUCACAAAAUUUAUUUUCUACAUACUUCAAAUACUCUAGAUCAGCUCUAACGGAGCCGAUCGUCGAUUCGAAAGUCUGAAUAUCGAAAACAAAAUGGAAGCACGGAGGGCUCCAUGCUUCCAUAAGCAUACCAGCUUACUCUAUAUAUAUAUAUAUAUAUAGAACUAGGCUACUAUGCUAUUAAUAGCACCAAGUUAUUGGUGCUACCAAGUUUUUUGCCAUUGGAUUAAGAGAUGUGCGGUUAGGAUGAUGUGGGCCCCUUAGGGUUGAGUGGGUGGUUGGUUGAAUAGUAACGGGUGAAAAUGAUCAAAAAGGUAGAUCUAACGGAGGAAAAUUUGGUAGCACCAAGUGCUUCGUGCUAUUAAUAGCAUAGCAGCCGGACUCUAUAUAUAUAUAUAUAUAUAUAUAUAUAUAUAUAUAUUAAAGUAAUUCAGAUGGAACGUGAUGUUUAUGUAAUCAAUAAUUUUUUAAAUAAAUUAGUAAUAAAUAUUCAUAAUUUUUAAAUUUCAUUAUAGUUGUGUAAAAAUAGUUAAAAGAAUUUUGUUCUAAGAUGGGUAAAGAGAGAGAAUUUUAAUUUUUUUUAAGAAAGAUGUAAGGAGAUAAUGUUAUUUUCUAUUUAAAAAUAGAAUUAAUAAAGAUUUUCUAAAAACAGAAGAUCAAACUUAUUAGUAUUCAAUAAAAACCUUAAAAUGUAAAAUAGUACAAACACAUAUUAAAAAGAGAAAUUUUGGUAUAUGAAAAUGGAUCGAGCAGAAAACUAUAUUGUGGUUGCAAAAUGAAUCAGGUGGGACUAAAAUAUCUCUCUAAUUGUCAAAAAUUGUCAAAAAAUAAAAAUUGUUGAGGGCAUUUUGAUCUUUAUACUUAAUUUUUAAUUUUUAUAAAUUAAAAAUAUAAAAUGAUUUAAAUUAGACGUGCGAAAGGAAAGAACACCCGGUGAAGAGGACGACGGCAACGUGUUGGCGAAAGACGACGACGAAGAUGAAGAUGUGUCAGCGAGGAGGAGGAUGAUGGCGUAAAUUAAAAAAUAAAAUGAUUUAAAUUAGACGUGCGAAAGGAAAGAACACCCGGCAAAGAGGACGACGGCAAUGUGUUGGCGAAAGGCGACGACGUAGAUGAAGAUGUGUCAGCGAGGAGGAGGAUGAUGACAAUCGGUGAAGGCAAUGACGAUGACAUGCCCCCGCCGCAAGGACAACAAUGACAACGAUGCGUCGGAGAGGACGAUGGCUUACAUAUAGAAAAAUAGGCACAUGUUAAAAAUAAAUGGUGCAUUUAACAUGAGAUAUAAAAGCCUAUAAAGAUGCAAAUUUAUUAGCAUUCAAUAAUCUUAAAAAGUGAACAGUGCAAGAGCGCCGAGAUCAAACCUUCAGCUUUUGGUUUCUUGCUUCUUUUUUCUUUUAUAGUUGAGAGAAUCGCUUAUUCCUCUUCUUGAUAGAUGGGACGAGGAAUUUCUUGAUUCAUGGAAAAUGAAAUUCUUACUAAUUAUAUUAGAUAUUAGAGAUUGUAUAAAACAACAUAAUGAUAUGUGCCGGAGAGGGCGACGACGAUAAUUAGCAAAGGUGAUAUUAUGUGUGAGAAAAUGCCGAAUAGAAAAUGCAAGGAUAUUAUUGUCAUAAAAAGUGACAGAUAUUUUCAUUUUCAAACUAUUGGAUAGAUGUCACGCCCCGGAUGUCUCGUUCCCCGGGUACGCCGACAAAUCCGCCGUAUACAAAGGAAUUUCCCCUGUAUACGAAGCGUCAAAGUACCUGUAGAAAUACAAUACUACAAACAGUAGCAUAGAGCUGCUCAAAAAAAAUAAGCUAAAUAUCUGAGUUUCAUAUACAUAGCUAAAAUCCAAAAUACAAAGCUACUCGCACUGGCGAGUUAAACAACUAUGUGCAUAAACUCCAAAACAAAACUACCUGCAGUAGAGGAAAGCCUCUAGCUCUGACUGUCGGGUAGGGCUCUAGCUCGCAACGCCCUUGCCUCGAUCCUGGGCGGCAGAAGAUGCAGCAGCCGGCACCUGUGGCUCUGCAAAACAUAAGUAACAACUGGGCGUGAGAACUACUGUAAAAACAAGUAGUCCUCAGUGGGUACCGCCCAAAACAACAUCGGUCACCCACUAAGUCUACAGAAGGGAGCAAGGAUAGAAGGAAAGCAGGAAGCAUACUCUACCGCUAUCAUCCACUACACUAUCAUGCUCUACACUAACCAACUGUAGGAAAUGUCAAAUCUGACCCAAUCCAAUCGGGACUGUAAGCAUACCCGUCCCCGGGACUGUGAAUACACCCGUCCCUGCCCCGUUGCGACUAUCGGGCUCUAUCCACACUAACUGGUCCGUGGAGAGCAAGUCCAACUGGCAUGAGCGACACCAACGCAAAAGCACAAGCCUGACUCCGGAGUGGCACUCGUGGGCGCUACCCAACCGAGUAUGCAGCGUAUCUCUGUCGAGCUCAAUCAGGCUCCAACUAGCCAAAGUCAAGUAAUCGACUCAAACUGGUCUAACAACCAACAGGUAACGUGCCCUCGGCACAAUCUGACGCCAAAAAGGCGAUACGGGUCCACCGUCAACUCUGACGGCACCCAACAGUCCGAAACGACCUGAACGACCCUGUAAAAAUCCACUCGGCGAACCAGCACGAGUGUAAAUACAUUCUAAACUACCUGGAGUACUCGUCUCGAAGAAACUGCGACAGUACAAUUUUCUAACGGCUCCUAGAGCUAAAUCAGGUAGUUAAAACAGGUGACAGGUCCAAAUCGCAGGUUUUCUCCUAAUUCAAUUUCCAAGUCCAACAUGUAUAAUCUACUUAAUUUAAAAAAACAUGCUCCAAAAUUCAGAUUUCACAAUCUACAUAUAGUCCAUGAAUUUGAGCUAAAAUUAAUUACCGAAAUCAAGAUCUAUACAUGUCGACCAAUAAGAACUUAGGAGUAAAGCCGAUGUAACCCACCUAAAAUGCUAAUCCCUGGCAGCGAAGGACUCCCCCUGGUGUAGUGCAACCUGCUGGAUCACCCGGAACCCGCCGAGUACAAAAAUCGCCUAAGCCCGAGCUCUACGCAACAAAAUUCACCAAUUCAGUCCAAAAUCCACAGCAGCAGAGAAGAAAGGGAUUUCGACCUAGCUAACCUUCACCAAAAUUCGCAAGUAAGGGCUUCGUGGAUUCCUUUCGAAGUCCCGAAUCCAACGAACCAAGCCUCGUCGAAAUCCAAUGCUCCUACGCCGAGAGCGAGCUGAAAUACUAACAGUCGACGGUGGAUUUCAGCAAACAACAUCUUUCCGAGUUGAAGUAGUAAGAACUUGCCCAAAAUCCCAGGAAAGGCUGAAUUACUCACCUCGACAGCGAUUAGCACCGGUGCGACGUCAAGAACGGCGAAGUUGCACGCUCGCCCGGUCUCCUCGCGAUGUCCCGGCGUCAAAUACGUGCUCGAACGAUCCCGCGGCGCGACGUCGACGACGAAACUCCAACCGAGCUCUCCUCCUUGCUCACAAUCGGGACUAGAGAGAGAGAUGAAGGAACACAAACCCUUCUCUCAACUCCUCUCCUCUGUAUAUAGGUUGAGGGAAAAAUGGGUGACACAAACGAGGGAGAGAAAUUACUCAAAUAGCCCUCUACCUACCCCCUUGUACCGGUACACGGGCUCCUAUACCGGUACAAGAGCCAACCCGAGAGCAGUUGAGCUAUUUCGCGCUGGUUGUACCGGUACAGCCACUAAGCUUGUACCGGUACAGCAAGCAGAGAAUGCUGCUGUUUUGCAGAAUUCUUCGCGAUAAGCGGCCCUCGCGUCGCACGGAGUCCGUUUUACGUCUAUUUGACGCCAACGCGACUCGGACUUGUCCCGACACUCUCCAGAGCUGUCGACAAGCCUCCACAGUCAAACUCCAGGGAUCUCACAAUAGAUCCCAUAUAUAGCAAAAAAUUAAAAUUUAUAUUUGAAAAUAAAUUAUUAUUUAUGGAUUAUUUGAAAUGAAUAGUUCAAAAUGACUGAACAUGAAAAUAUUACUAAAAAAACAUAGAGAUAUUUUCGGAAAGAGAAAAAAGGCAAAACUAACACUUUUAUAAGUAUAAAUAUUGAAAAUUAGAUCUGUCUAAUAUAGAUUAUUUUUACAUUUUAACAUUAGAAUGAUCUAUCGACACUGGAUUAAUUUUUAUUUUUUUAUUUUCAUAUGUGAUAUGAGUUUUGAUAUUCGAAAAAUUUUAAAAAAUAUAAUAUUAUUUUUCUGUUGCGUUUUUCUUUUAUACCGGUAAUUCUAAUAUUGGUAUCAGAGCCAACUCCCAUGUUCCACGUGAAAAUAUUAAUGUUCAAGUAUGAUUUGAUUGAAAUUUGGAGCCUUUCUGCGAUUAGACCGAUAUUGUCUUUCUUAAGUCGCGCGUGCUGUUGUUGAUUUUAAACUAUAAUAUGAAUAUGUGGAGACUUGAGAAAAAUAUAAAUCCACCUAACACCCCCAAAGUAGUGAAAGCCCAUUUUGGCCCAGCAAAAGUCGGGCCAAACAGAUACUCUGUUAGGUCUACUCCGGAAGUUGUCGCAUUUGUGGUAUAUAGAAAUUUGAGUUUCAACAGUAUGUUCUUCAUUAAAAAAAAACAUGCAUUUUCAAUUGAAUCAAAUUUUUUAGAAUCACUAACUAUAUAACUGUAGAUACAUUUCAAAAUAAGAUACAUUAUUAUUUUUUUUAAUUUAGUUUUUAGCUCUAGUUUGGGGUUUGGAACCUAAUGUUAGAAUUUGGGCUCUUGUUGGGCUGCUGCAGUGACUCUUCUCCUCCACUCUAAAUGGGCCUUUCCAGAAAAACGAGAGUACCAACAUAUAAUUAAGGGGCAAUUUCAAAUAUAACCCCCUAAAACUUAAAAAUAUCAUAUAUGUUUCUUCAAAAUCUAAAAUAUCAUUCAUACUCUCUCUAAAUUUGUAAAUCUAUCACUGGUACUCCUCUAGACAUAUAAAGCUGUCCCAAAUACCCCUCUAACCCCAAACCCAAAGCCUAAAUCCAAAACUUUUUAGGCUCCAUUUGAUUUAGGAAUAAACCUGGGUGAACAAAAGUUAUCCCAGCUAUUCUGCUAAACAAUAUACAAAAAAAAAGAAUAAUUAUUUCAGUUAAACCAGAUUAUUUAGAUAAUUUCUAAAUAUUCCAAGAACAACUUAGCUUAUUAAAGAUAACAAGGGCACGUUUGGUUCGAGUUAUAUUAUAUUAUAGAGUAUUUCGAUAUAAAAUUUCUAAAUGAGAUUACCAUUAGUAUGUUUGGUUUAAUACAAUAAUGUAAUACCGGAUUGCUGUGUUUAUAGCGUUACUAUAUUUGGUUUUGUCUAUAAAAUUUAGUAAUUUAGACAAUAAAGUAUAGUCUAUUCCAAAAUAGCCCUUAGUUAUAUUUCGUAAACUUUUUUUUUUAUUGUUUACAAAUAAUAUUUUUUUACCAAAUUUUAUUUUAAAUAAUUUAAUUUUUAAAUUUUAAAUUUUAACAAACAUAUAAAUUUAAUAUUUUAAUUUAAAAUAUAAAUAUGAAAUUUCUAAAUUUAGAAUCUAAAAUGUAAAUAUAAAUAUAUAUAAAAUAAAAAAUUAAAUUCAGAAUUAAAAUACAAAUUGAUUUUAAAUUUAACCAAUUUAAAAUUCAAAUUUCAAACUUCAAAUUUCAAAUUUUGAGAUUUAAAAUUUGAAUUUUAAAUUUAAAAUUUAAAAUUUAAAUUGAAGUUAAAAAUUUAAAAAUAAAAAAUUAAAAAUUUAAAUUUAAAAAUUUAAAAAUUAAAAUUUGAAAAUUAAAAAUUAAAAAUUAAAAGUUGACAAUGUCAAAAUUUUAAAUUAAAUUUUUUUUAAUAACGUAUUGAAAGGAUUCGAGAGUUAGAGGGUAAAAAUGUCAUUUUACAUAAUAUGUAGUAUUAUCCGGUUUUCAGUAAUGCAAGAUACACGACCCCCUCUCGUUUAUAUUUCUAGUUUUAUAUUUCGGUGUAAUACUUCCUCGAUUAUGUAAUGCUGCAUAACGACUAGAUUAUAUAGCGAUGAACCAAACACGUUAAUCCUGACAGGAUAGAUACCUGUAUCCUGCCGAAUUGAAAAUGAACCAAACGCACCCUAAAAGUAAUGUAAAAUAUGGUUAUAUAUAAUAUAUAUUAUAUAUAUUAUUAUAUUAUAUAAAAUUGAGCUCCUAUGCUUUUAAAAGUAGCAAGUUUUUGGUGCUUGUAGUGUUUUCGCCAUUGGAUUAAGAGAUAUGUGGUUAUGAUGAUGUGGCCCCUAGGUGCUUGAGUGGGUGGUUGAUGAAAUUAGUAAUUAAUGGUUGAAAGUGAUCCGAAGAAAGUAGAUCUAACGGUAAAAACACUUACAAGCACCAAGUGCUUGGUGCUUUUACAGCACCAUAGCUGGACAAUAUAAUAUUUAUAAUAUAUAUAGUAUAUAUAUAUAUAUAUAUAUUCAUAUAUUAUUAUUGUUAUGAAUAUAUAAUGAUAUAUUAAAAUAUUUAUAAUAAAUAAUAUAAUAAUAAUAAUAAUAAUAAUAAUAAUAAUAAUAAUAUUUUAUUAUUAUUAUAUUAUUAUUAUUAUUAUUAUUAUUAGUAGUAGUAGUAGUAGUAGUAGUAAUAGUAGUCAACAACAACUACUAGUGCUAACUAUUAUAUAUAUUUAUUCCUUUUAUAAAUUUAUCUUUAUAUUUAUAUUUAUCUAAAAUAUUAUUUUUGAAAAUAUUUUAUAUAUUAUAUAUUGAAGUAUGUUAUACAAGAAUAUUGAAGUAUUUUAUAUAAUAAUAUGAUUAUAAUAGUAUUAAAUAUAAUAUUUGAAUUAUUUUAUAUUUUUAAAAAUAUAUUAUUUUUUAUGUAUUAUUUUAUUUUAUAGUAAAUAGUCUAUAUAAUGAGAGAUUAGAUAAUAAUAACCGCAAUCUUAAUAUUAAAAAUUUUAAUAUAUUUUUGGAGUAGGACUAGAAUACUUGUAAAGUAUCAUGGGGGUGUACUUGCUGUGUUUUAUAACCCUUGGAUGGAGAGAUGUGAGGUUAAGAUGAUGGUGGUAGAUGGUGGUAGGUGGUGGUAGGUGGAAUAGUGUUUAAUCUAAGGGCUAUUAAUAAUCAAAAAGUAGAUCCAAUGGCUUAAAACCUAAUAGCACCAUGAUGGUGAUACUUGUAAAGGUAUCAUAGCUCAACUCUAUUUUUUGUACAAUUCUUCAUUAUUCUUAAUAAAAUUACUAAAA